GGGGGGAUAGCACAAUUGGUAGUGCGUUGGAUUCCAGAUCCAAAGGUUGGGCGUUCGAUUCGCUCUCUCCUCA
This is a non-coding RNA of Cunninghamella echinulata, 73 nucleotides long. The record is from the annotation of a GenBank genome assembly. Lineage: Eukaryota; Fungi; Mucoromycota; Mucoromycetes; Mucorales; Cunninghamellaceae.